This 93-nucleotide microRNA precursor is filed under the name Carlito syrichta (Philippine tarsier). Its description in RNAcentral is "miRNA (ENSTSYG00000036596.1)". Lineage: Eukaryota; Metazoa; Chordata; Mammalia; Primates; Tarsiidae. The record is from RNAcentral.
GGAAGAUUGCUUGAGGCUUGGUGGUCAAGUCUGCAGUGAGCUGUGAUCACACCACUGCACUCCAGCCUGAGUGACAGAGCAAGAACCUGUCUC